RNAcentral lists this ribosomal RNA (516 nucleotides) under Triticum aestivum (bread wheat). Its description in RNAcentral is "partial small subunit ribosomal RNA". The record is from RNAcentral. Lineage: Eukaryota; Viridiplantae; Streptophyta; Magnoliopsida; Poales; Poaceae.
AUGAUGGCAGAACUUGGGCUGAAGGAAGAAGAUCUUGAUGAUGUGAUCUUUGAUGAGAAAGAUGCGCCUCCACAGGGACCUAGAUGGAUUGCUCUGGCUAGGGUAAACACCUCCAAAUCAUACAGUCAGACGUGGUUCUACAGAAACAUGCAGUCAGCAUGGAAUAUAGCGCAGGAGGCCAAGUUUAAGCCCUUGGAAGAUAAUCUAUACUCAGUUCAACUGUCUUGUUUAGGAGAUUGGGAGAGAGUUAUGCAUGAGGGACCUUGGAAUUUCCGAGGGGAUGCAAUGCUUCUUGCGCCGACGAUUGACAUAUGGAUCCAGAUACAUGAUGUUCCAAAUCUGUUUGCUCACCUGGUUACUCCACUAGCCGCAAAGGUGGGGGGAGUGCUAUUCACAGAACAACCGUCUCAUGAUUUUGUUGGGAACUUCCAUAGGGUGUGGAUUCGGCUGAAUGUGUUUAAACCCCUGAAGAACGCUGUGUCUAUGAUCAGAGGGGGGGGGGAGACAGAUCUAUAG